ACCCCCCACUUUUUCUUCCAAAACCCUAAUUAAGCCAGGACCAAUGGACGUUGCUUCUCCUUCAAUCACUGUUCCAAUUCUCAGUCUCACCGACAUCAGUGCUCUGUAAGCUUCUCUAAUUUACCUUCAGUUGGAAAAAAAAUUCAUACUGCAACAAUUAUGCUUAGUUUUCUCCAUAGGAUUAGAAAUUCCAACAAACUCUUGUUUCAUUAUAAACAAGGAUCAAACCCAUCAACAGCCCAUCUCAGAUUCAUCUCAAAAGUCCCAGCAAAACCAAGAAAUGAUCAAUCUUCAUUGACAAUCUCUUACCUCACUAACUCGUGUGGCCUCUCUCCUCAAUCUGCCCUCUCUGUUGCCAAAAAAAUCCAGCUCAAAACCACUAAGAAUGCUGAUUCAGUCCUAAAUCUCCUCAAAUCCCACAGUUUCACAGAUACCCAGAUCACAAAACUCAUCACCAAGAGCCCAGCCCUUCUCCUAUCCAAUGUUGAGAAUACCCUAAAGCCAAAAAUCGAUUUUUUCACAGAUACUGGUUUCUCUUCCUCUGAAUUUGCAAGCCUUGCUUGCUGUGACCCAAUUAUAUUCAGGUCAAACUUACAAAAUAGAAUCAAGCCCAAUUUUGAGCUUAUCAACUCAAUUCUUGGCGACAACAAGAAGUUACUUGUUGCUUUCCGCCGAUCUUCUCGUUUGUUUAGCAACGAUCUCGAGACCAAUUUCUUGCCCAAUGUCAGAACCCUUCAAUCAUACGGAGUCCCUACUACCAACAUUGCCAAGUUAAUCACCCUUUACCCGAGGGUUCUAACGAACGAAACCAAGCAGUUUGCUACAACUGUUGAAUCCAUAAAGAAAUUUGGGUUCAACCCGUUAACGUGCCUCUUUGUUCAAGCAGUUUACGUGGUGUCAGCAACCACCCCCUUGACAUGGGAGAGUAAGUCAGCAGUGUACAAGAGUUUGGGAUGGUCAGAAGGAGAGAUCAUCUCAGCAUUCACCAAGCAACCGUUUUGCUUGCUUCUGUCGGAGAAGAAAAUCAGGAAAAUGGUAGAUUUCUAUGUCAAGAAACUUCAUUGGGAGCCGUGUUUUCUCGCUGCAAAUCCUAAGUUUCUUGGUUAUAGUUUGGAGAAAAGGGUCCUCCCUAGGUGUUGUGUUCUUAGUGUUUUGUCGUCGAAGAGUUUGAUAAGGAGAUAUCCUCAUGUGAACCAUAGAGACUUGUCGAUAAAUGAGUGCAAGUUCUAUAAUAAGUAUGUGGGUAAGUAUAUGGAUCAAGUCCCUGAGGUGAUUGAGGCUUACAAGAGUAAUUUAGAGUUCGUGGAAUUUGAUGUUUUAUGUUAGAGUAUGCUUCUUUAUUAUAUCUCUCGGCUUCUUGGUAGAGUCCAAAUUCUUUCUUCUGUGGAUAGCUCGAUGAUACUGGAGGAUACUUCACAAAUUGCCUUGGGCUUCAUACAGGCUUCAGAAGAAGUUUUUUGUUCACUCGAAGGAUUUAAAAGCAUUCACUUUAUCCUGUUAUGCUUGGAUGGAUAAAUCUUAUUUUUUUCAAAUAUGCAAGUAAAGUUUUAAGAAAUUUUUCUGGAACUUUUAGCAUCAAUUAAUUGUUGAGUAUGAAAUAUGAUGCGAGCGCUGCACUCUCAUGAGCAUGUUUUUGGCUAAACGUGAAGUGCUACAGGCUUUCAAGUACAUGUUGAUAGUUGAAGAUCAAACAAUAAAUCAGUUGGCUUUUUUGUUGCACAUUGAUUGUCUUAUCAGUUUAUGUGAUAAUUUUUCCAAUUACAAAACGACACUAUAAUAAUUUACACGCACUUGACAACAAGCUUGUAUGAACUUAUAUGAGCUGGUAAAGGCAUUAAUAAAUCAUAUUGCUGCUCACUUCUGAAUAAGAAACUUGUUGACAUUAGUCUUCAAGUCUUUCAUGUUUUGAAAUUAGUCCCCUCAAAUCAUUGAAAUUGCUGUUAGGUCCUUGAAUUCUUAAGUUAUUUUUGUAAGUCCGUCAAACCCUUGGAAUUGCUAUUAGGUCCCCCAAUUCUUAAAACUUGUUAGAAAUUUAUCUUUCCAAUUGUUGCUUCUACUAUUGGUUGGAGGGAAUAAUCUGAAACAAUUUAUCAGAUUUGGAGGAGCUAAGAACAAAUCAAAUGGUUUUAGGGACUAACAUUAAAACUUAAGAAUGGGGGGACUUGAUAGCAAUUUUUGUGAUUUAUAUGGAUUAAUUUUCAAAAUAUUAAAGAUUCAAGGGAUGCAUCAAAAACCCUUAAAAAUUACGGAAGAAGAUAAUUAUGAAUUAAAAUCUCGGGGGUUUGAUUUGGAAUUUUCACAAAAUUAAUAACUUUGAUCUCAUAGAUGCCUCAUCUGAUACACUUCAUAAUCAUCUAAAAUGUUGUUUAUAUAUAGUUCACGUGAAAUAGAUCUCAUCUAGUGGUAUAAGAUUAUAAAAGUUCUAUUCUCAUAAUCUCAUUUCAGUUUGAAUCUUUUAUCACUUUGGUACGUUUUUUUAACAUUUGUAUACCCCAAAGUUUCAACUUUAUAUCACUUUGAUAACCCCAACAAGAGAUCAUUAUAUUUUCUUUUAAAUUUUAAGUUGUGCUUAGCAAUGGGGUAAAGUAAAUCUAAAUGUAUCACAUGCUAAAGACACGACGCAAACUUUAACAGAAAAUCUAAGACUAGGUAUCAAAAGUGAAGGGAAAUUUGAAACCUCGAAGUAUCAGAAUGUUGAAAUGUACUUCCAUGUAUCAAAGUGAAACGUUGGAUUCAAAGUUUGAGGUAUCGAAGUGUUAAAACAAUACUUUAGGGUAUCAAAGUGAAAAUGAAGGUAAACUUUUUGGUACCAAAGUGGGAGUAAGCUGGAAGAAAUAAAAUGAAUGUGGCCUCUCAAAAAAAAACCCUCCCUUAGCUCCAAAAGCCAGGUGCCGUAGACGUUGCUUCUCCUUCAACUGAUGCUCCUCUUCUCAGUCUCAGCGACCUCAAUGCUUUGCCUAGCUUGGUCGCACCCAAUUUUACUCAGGACAAGCGCACGAAACGAACUCAAGCCCAAUUUUGAGGUGCUCAGCUCUAUGACUAGCAAUGACAAGAGCUUAUGGCGUCCCUCGUUCAAAAAGUGCCAAGUUAGUCACCCUUUUUCUAACAAAUGAUAACCAAGAAGUUCGCUACAGCAGUUGAAUCCGUUAAGAAACUCGGGGUUCGACCCGUUAACGUGCCUCUUUCUUCGAGCAGUUUACGUGGUGUCAGCAACCACCCCCUUGACAUGGGAGAGUAAGUCAGACAUGUACAAGAGUUCGGGAUGGUCAGAAGGAGAGAUCAUCUCAGCCUUCACCAAGCAAAACAGUUUGCAUGUUUCUGCCAGAUAAGAAGAUCAGGCAGAUGAUAGAUUUCUAUGUCAAGAGACUUCGCUGGGAGUCGUGUUUUCUGGUCGCAAACCCUGAGUUUCUUGGACUUAGUUUGGAGAAGAGGAACCUCCGGUGGUGUUGUGUUCUUAGCAUUGUUAUCAUCGAAGAGUUUGAUAAGGAGAUAUCCAUGUGUGAACAAUCGAGAUUUGUCAACGACUGAGAGCAAGUUCUGUAAUGAGUAUGUGGCCAAGUAUAUGGAUCAAGUCCCUGAGGUGAUUGAGGCUUACAUUAGAAUUCGUGGAAUUUGAGGGUGGACCAUCAAUUGUGCAAGACUCAUAGUUAAGUAGAGUCCAGACUCUUUCAUCCUUUGCUGGUUUGAUGUAUAGGACUUCAUACUGGAGGAUACUUCACGCAUUGCCUUCGGCUUCAGAAAGGUAACCUUAUUUGAAGUUGGUGAAUGAUUAUAAUAGUGUCCUACAAUUCAAGUCUAAGUUUGUUUUAGGUGAACGAAUAAGUGUUUUGAUGUGGCAUCACUUCUAACUUAUUUAUUUAGAUGAAGUUGAAUUGGAAUUGAGAUAUAUGAUUAUGCGGCUUAUUACAAUACCUUUCACUUGUAAAAUUGGUCCUGUUAAUUUUUAUG
RNA transcript from Asparagus officinalis (garden asparagus), 3948 nucleotides. RefSeq lists it as uncharacterized. The record is from RefSeq and is a predicted model, not a curated record. NCBI's taxonomy places the organism in Eukaryota, Viridiplantae, Streptophyta, Magnoliopsida, Asparagales, Asparagaceae. The transcript is spliced from 4 exons.